ACUCUGUGGUCUAGUGGUUAAGUACACUGGCUCGAGACUGGUAGGUUCUGGGUUCAAAUCUCGCGAGGCG
RNAcentral lists this transfer RNA (70 nucleotides) under Schistosoma mansoni. The record is from RNAcentral. Lineage: Eukaryota; Metazoa; Platyhelminthes; Trematoda; Strigeidida; Schistosomatidae.